This 1402-nucleotide long non-coding RNA is filed under the name Malus domestica (apple). RNAcentral's name for it is "long non-coding RNA (MDOM_LNC014242)". The record is from RNAcentral. Lineage: Eukaryota; Viridiplantae; Streptophyta; Magnoliopsida; Rosales; Rosaceae.
UAUAUUUUCGCAGGUCUAAUAUAAGCUUGGUUAAAAAAUUGGAGUUUUAACGAAAAGCCCGUGAUACUGUUUAUUUUAACGAAAAAUCAUAUUUUUACACUAAAAUGUCAAACUUGAUACUUUUUACUUUACUCUUUAUUUUGCCUUUAUCGUUAAAACUCAAAGUUUUCAAGUCAUUUUCAUUAGUUUUCCUUUUAAAAAUACUUUUAAAAAAAAUUUGCCCAUAAAUGCUUUAAAAAAUAUAUUAAUUUUUUAAUCAAAAUGCAAGUGAUUCUUGAAAACACGUUUAAUUCUUUUUUGUCACUUCUUGGAAGCACGUUUAAUAUAUAUUUUUUUGUCAAAUAUAAUAAAAAAUAAUUUUGAAAUCGCUUUUAAUUAUUUUAAGGACAUUUAAACAGGUUUGUAAAUUUUUAACAGAAUUAAAAUAAACAAAUAGAUAACGGAAAGAAAAAAAAGAAAGCCCUUUGGUUAUAAUCAUGAGAAAUACAUUAAAAUGGCUUCUUUCUUUUGCAAAAAAUUUCCCAUGGUUAUUUGGGAAUAGUGGCAGUUUUGGGCAUGUGCAAUAGGUGCUCUUGUACAGGACUUCCAAUUUUAAAGGCCCCCUAAAAGAUGGUAUCAUUUACAUAUGUACCAACUUGGUUUGUGGCAAAAAAAUUUCAACAAAUUUUCUAGAUUUUACAUGUGAGUAAGAGAAAUAUUGCCUCCAUAUGCAUAAGAGAAAUCAUUUUUAUGUUUUUAGUAAGAUUAUGCCGGCUUUGCUCUAAAUUUUGUUUUCAUUUAUUUGUUUUAUAUUUUUUGUUGAUUUAAACUAUAACUCAAGUAAUAAUUCUUCAUUUAUGUCCUUUAUUAAUACAACUAUAGACACAUAAAUUAGUUUUGUAGCAAAAAUAUUUGUAUAAUGGUCUGUUUAUUAUCUUCCCACACAUGACCCCUAAAAUUUAAGAGCCGUCCCAAUCUUGAAUCAAGAUAUAUGCUUGAAACUAGACGUAAUGUCGUAGGGCUGCUCAACCUAAGCCGUCCCCACCCUUAAUUUAUAUGAAAUAGACUUUCAUGGCCCAGAAAGUUGAAACCAACCACUUGCGAACGCACCAACGUCAAUAUUUAUAUCUACUAAAGCUCGGCAGAAAUGUACUGUUCAUUAGGCGAGAGGUAGCACUGUUUACCAAUAGUGAAAGGGCAGAGAUACCCUUGGUUUCUGCUUCGGCUCCCGUACUGUUUACAAUUUGCUACAGUGAAAAGUCCGUUUUGUCCUUCGUGGCCUCGCGUCUCUCAUCCGCACGCACUCCCUUCUUUGCUACAUCCGAAGCCUUUGAAAAAGGGGUGUGCUCCUUUUUACUUUUCACACACCUCUUGUUAAUUUUUACCGUUUGAUCUUCUUCAAUUCAUCCGAUCCAACGACUGA